CUGGGCUGGUGGGAUGAGAUCGACAACUCCGUGGAGUGGCAGCGCGGCAUCUUCUACGGCCUCUGCGCCGCCCACUCCCUCGUCGCCCUCGUCGCGCUGGUACAACUCAUCCGUAUUCAGUUAAGGGUACCGGAUUAUGGUUGGACUACACAGAAGCUUUUUCAUUUGAUGAACUUUGUUGUAAAUGGAUUACGAGCCGUCCUUUUUGGAUUUUACCAUAGUGUAUUUCUUCUCAGACCAAAAGCUCUCGAAUAUGCACUUCUGGAUCUUCCUAGCCUCUUGUUUUUCACAACAUACACUUUGUUAGUGUUAUUCUGGGCAGAGAUAUAUCAUCAGGCUAGAAGCCUUCCAACUGACAAGCUCAGACCUGCAUAUUUGGUUAUCAACGGAGCAGUAUAUAUCAUACAGGUAUGCAUUUGGGUUUAUUUGGAGAUUAGUCCAAAGCCUAUUGCUGUGAAACUUGCUAAGCUUUUCCUAGCAGCUGUCUCAUUCUUCGCGGCCCUAGGAUUCCUGAUAUAUGGUGGAAGGUUGUUCAUUAUGCUUAGGCGCUUCCCAAUUGAAUCCAAGGGUCGUAGGAAAAAGCUGAACGAGG
This 592-nucleotide unclassified non-coding RNA is filed under the name Hevea brasiliensis (rubber tree). The record is from RNAcentral. Lineage: Eukaryota; Viridiplantae; Streptophyta; Magnoliopsida; Malpighiales; Euphorbiaceae.